This 451-nucleotide ribosomal RNA is filed under the name Salmo trutta fario. RNAcentral describes it as "partial 16S ribosomal RNA". Lineage: Eukaryota; Metazoa; Chordata; Actinopteri; Salmoniformes; Salmonidae. The record is from RNAcentral.
CCUUAAUAGCGGCUGCACCAUUAGGAUGUCCUGAUCCAACAUCGAGGUCGUAAACCCCCUCGUCGAUAGGGACUCUGGGAGAGGAUUGCGCUGUUAUCCCUAGGGUAACUCGGUCCGUUGAUCGGCGUUCGCCGGAUCAUUUUUGGUCAGAAAUUCUGGUGCUUAGAGUUGUGGCUCUUGGUUGUGGGGGCAGUGUCCCCAGUCCACAUGGGGGCUUUGUUUUCCCCCGCGGUCGCCCCAACCAAAGACAUAGGGGCUAGGGGUCACUGUGUUUUUACUUGUUAAUUCAAGGUUACUUGACGUGAUCUGCCUGGUGUCUAAAGCUCCAUAGGGUCUUCUCGUCUUAUGUAUUUAUGUCCGCUUCUGCACGGGCAGAUCAAUUUCAUUGACUUGGAAGAGGAGACAGCUAAGCCCUCGUGAUGCCAUUCAUACAGGUCUUCAUUUAAAAGAC